This 433-nucleotide ribosomal RNA is filed under the name uncultured bacterium. RNAcentral's name for it is "partial 16S ribosomal RNA". It matches the Rfam family "Bacterial small subunit ribosomal RNA", at positions 29 to 507 of the family's 1533-position model. The record is from RNAcentral.
AACGAACGCUGGCGGCAUGCCUAACACAUGCGAGUCGAACGAGACCUUCGGGUCUAGUGGCGCACGGGUGCGUAACGCGUGGGAACCUGCCCUUAGGUUCGGAAUAACUCCCCGAAAGGGGUGCUAAUACCGGAUAAUGUCUUCGGACCAAAGAUUUAUCGCCUUUGGAUGGGCCCGCGUUGGAUUAGCUAGUUGGUAGGGUAAAAGCCUACCAAGGCGACGAUCCAUAGCUGGUCUGAGAGGAUGAUCAGCCACACUGGGACUGAGACACGGCCCAGACUCCUACGGGAGGCAGCAGUGGGGAAUAUUGGACAAUGGGCGAAAGCCUGAUCCAGCAAUGCCGCGUGAGUGAUGAAGGCCUUAGGGUUGUAAAGCUCUUUUACCCGGGAUGAUAAUGACAGUACCGGGAGAAUAAGCACCGGCUAACUCCGUG